This 253-nucleotide ribosomal RNA is filed under the name uncultured bacterium. Its description in RNAcentral is "partial 16S ribosomal RNA". It matches the Rfam family "Bacterial small subunit ribosomal RNA", at positions 524 to 776 of the family's 1533-position model. The record is from RNAcentral.
UACGUAGGGGGCAAGCGUUGUCCGGAAUCAUUGGGCGUAAAGCGCGUGUAGGCGGCUUCGUAAGUCCGUUGUGAAAGUCCAGGGCUCAACCCUGGAAUGCCGAUGGAUACUGCGGAGCUAGAGUCCGGAAGAGGCGAGUGGAAUUCCUGGUGUAGCGGUGAAAUGCGCAGAUAUCAGGAGGAGCACCAAUGGCGAAGGCAGCUCGCUGGGCCGAUACUGACGCUGAGGAGCGAAAGCGUGGGGAGCGAACAGG